GACGAACGCUGGCGGCGUGCCUAAUACAUGCAAGUCGAACGCACUCUCGUUAGAUUGAAGAAGCUUGCUUCUGAUUGAUAACAUUUGAGUGAGUGGCGGACGGGUGAGUAACACGUGGGUAACCUGCCCUAAAGUGGGGGAUAACAUUUGGAAACAGAUGCUAAUACCGCAUAAAACCUAGCACCGCAUGGUGCAAGGUUGAAAGAUGGUUUCGGCUAUCACUUUAGGAUGGACCCGCGGUGCAUUAGUUAGUUGGUGAGGUAAAGGGCUCACCAAGACCGUGAUGCAUAGCCGACCUGAGAGGGUAAUCGGCCACACUGGGACUGAGACACGGCCCAGACUCCUACGGGAGGCAGCAGUAGGGAAUCUUCCACAAUGGACGAAAGUCUGAUGGAGCAACGCCGCGUGAGUGAAGAAGGUUUCGGAUCGUAAAACUCUGUUGUUGGAGAAGAACGUAUUUGAUAGUAACUGAUCAGGUAGUGACGGUAUCCAA
Molecule: ribosomal RNA, 493 nt
Filed under: uncultured bacterium
Lineage: Bacteria
Description: bacterial SSU rRNA
Rfam family: Bacterial small subunit ribosomal RNA
Source: RNAcentral